Molecule: ribosomal RNA, 205 nt
Filed under: uncultured bacterium
Lineage: Bacteria
Description: partial 16S ribosomal RNA
Rfam family: Bacterial small subunit ribosomal RNA
Source: RNAcentral
UACAGAGGGGGCGAAGCGUUGUUCGGAAUUACUGGGCGUAAAGGGCGCGUAGGCGGCCUGUUAAGGUCAAGACCGUGAAAUCCCUCGGCUCAACCGGGGAACUGCGUCUGAUACUGGCGGGCCUGAAUCGGGAGAGGGAUGUUGGAAGUUCCAGGGUGUAGCGGUGAAAUGACGUAGAUAUCGUGAGGAACACCAGAGGCGAAGG